UACGGAGGGUGCAAGCGUUGUCCGGAAUCAUUGGGUGUAAAGGGUGUGUAGGUGGAGAUGUAAGUCAGUGGUGAAAGCCCGCAGCUUAACUGCGGAACUGCCUUUGAUACUGCAUCUCUUGAGUCCUGGAGAGGCUACUAGAAUUCGUGGUGUAGCGGUGAAAUGCGUAGAUAUCACGAGGAAUACCAGAGGCGUAGGCGGGUAGCUGGACAGGUACUGACACUGAGGCACGAAAGCGUGGGGAGCAAACAGG
Molecule: ribosomal RNA, 253 nt
Filed under: uncultured bacterium
Lineage: Bacteria
Description: partial 16S ribosomal RNA
Rfam family: Bacterial small subunit ribosomal RNA
Source: RNAcentral